GGGACUUCAUUUGCUGCUGACACUAGGUGGAUUGAUUAAGGUGCCCAUCUUUCCUAUGAGGUUCACACUCUGGGACUCCUUCUCCAUCCCCCAGAAUCGCUUUCUGGACCCCAGGACAGGGCUAAAGGGCCACAGACGGGUGGCCUCCAUGACAGGAGAACACUGUCAGCCGGUUCCGGAGGCUCAGGCCAGGGUCGAGGGGAGGCCUCCUCCCGGCCGCAGACGGUGUCCUUCCCGGUGUCUUCCUAUGGCCUGGCCCCUGUGUGUCUGCGCCCUCAUCACCUACUCAAGGUCACCGAGGACGCGAGCCAUCCUGGAUGAGGGCCUCAGUUCAACUUAAUCAGCACUUUAAAGACUGUCUCCGACACCGUCACAAAGGGGGGGACGGGGUGGGGACUUCAGCACGCA
Molecule: long non-coding RNA, 408 nt
Filed under: Ictidomys tridecemlineatus (thirteen-lined ground squirrel)
Lineage: Eukaryota; Metazoa; Chordata; Mammalia; Rodentia; Sciuridae
Description: lncRNA (ENSSTOG00000032357.1)
Source: RNAcentral